UGUCAAGGUAAUAAAAUGACAUAAUAACUUGCUAAUUUACAAUUAUGACAGCUAACAAUAUAUUUUCAGACGUCUAAAAAAACAUGGUUCUCAUGAAAUUCCUAUGGUACCCUAAUCACCAAUUAUAACUUUGUGGAAUGAGUAGGCCAAUGAACAAUAGUCAUGCCAUCUUCAUUCUUCAUGAGAAAAUGCUCCCUUGAACAUCCAUUAAUUAGCUAGUCCAAGUUAACUUGUUGACGCAGGCACAUCUCAUUCCCAUGCCAUACUACCAUUUGAAAAUAAAAUAAAAUAAAAACACAA
Molecule: unclassified non-coding RNA, 300 nt
Filed under: Hevea brasiliensis (rubber tree)
Lineage: Eukaryota; Viridiplantae; Streptophyta; Magnoliopsida; Malpighiales; Euphorbiaceae
Source: RNAcentral